UUUUAACUCUGAGUCUCUUUUCUGACGUCUCUGUGGCGCUAACAGGAGCUAAUUCACCUUCAGAUGAGCAGCUAAUCAUAACUAGCUCCACGGGCUCAGGUUUGUGGUUGGAGCUCCAGAGGAUGAGGCUCCAUCGUUUCCUGAGGUCUGGUCCACAAACACUGAGCUGAAGGAGCUGGAAUAGCGUGUUAGCAGAGCUCAGUUAAAAAGCUCAGCGUCUCAUCAGCUGUUUGCUUGAACUGAUCCCACGGAGCCGCAGAGCUGCUCUGAUUGGACGACGGCUCUCCGUGGAGGGGGCGUUCCCCGCCAAACCCUCACUGAUUGGCCAGAAUACAUUCAGGAGGGCGGGGUUUUGGCGCCGGCGAGAAUCAAAGAUAGUGAAACUAACAGAGCUCUCACACUGACUGCAUUAUUAUAUGACAGCUUUAAGUGAAACCUAUUCCUGACAUCCAGCUCUGCAGUGUUUUCUGUCCUUACAGUUUAC
This is a long non-coding RNA of Amphiprion ocellaris (clown anemonefish), 484 nucleotides long. Lineage: Eukaryota; Metazoa; Chordata; Actinopteri; Pomacentridae. The record is from Ensembl.